ACUUAAAUAGUUUAAAUAAAAUGUUGAUUUGUGGUGUCAAUGAUAUGAUAUAUUCAUUUUAGGUU
Molecule: transfer RNA, 65 nt
Filed under: Anabropsis maguanensis
Lineage: Eukaryota; Metazoa; Arthropoda; Insecta; Orthoptera; Anostostomatidae
Description: tRNA-His
Source: RNAcentral